GAGCCCUAAUUUUUUAAAGUGUUCUCCUGUCAAGAGACUAUUUAAAGUACAGGUUUUAUAGAUACUUUCCUUUUAAAUAGAUUUCUCUUAGCUAAUCAGAUGCUGAGCGGCGUUGCCUUUAAUUUUAUCUGGCCAAGCUUCCCUCCAUCUGUUUUCCCAUAAUGCUCUCAUUCCCUCUUCCAGAUGUUUGGCACAGCAUCUCAACUUGAUGUCUAUUUCUUCUUGUUCUCCUUCACCUCACAUGAACCUUCCAAGUCAUAAUUCUUUGGAAAUAGACACAAGGAGCCUUAUUUCAAAUUACCAUCCUUUACUUAAGAGGUUCCAUCUCUAAGCAUAUCAGCAAUCAUGGUGACGCGCCACUCUGCUGGUAAUUCAUAUGGCUUAUUCAGAAGCACAGACCAUGGUUGUUAGACCUGCCAGAUGUUCCCGGUCCUUAGCUGCAAUUAAGUUCCAACACAGCCCAAUUUGAAAGAGAUUGAGAAACCACAGUUUUCAUUAAGAAUAUUCAUGAGUUUGCACCUUGAAAAGCCAGCAGUUACAUGAUGUGCCAGAAUGGACAAGAUCCUUUGAGAAGAGAGAGAGAGGAAAAGAUGCAAUUUAAAAUAAGUUACCAGGUUUUGAAAGUUUCCACAUGGACCAUUUUUAAGCUGCAUCUCAUGGGAUUUUAGACCCUGAAGUGUCAUAUCUAAUUGUUAUCUUUUCAUGUUCAUGUCUUCAGUAAUCAUCUAGAAGUGAUAUUAUGGACUGGCACUCAGAGGCGGUGUGAACUGUGAAAAUCUACAUUCUAAAAUCUUCUCAAAUCUUUUUUGCUAUCCUUCCCAUUUGUAUCACAUCAUCUGGGGUAUAGAAAGUGUGAAACUUUUUAGUUUUAUAUACCUUGAAGAAUUGAAACCAACCGGAGAGUGACUAUAAUAAGGAACAUUAUGGAGUUGUAUGUUAUUAUGUUUACAUGUCUAUUUGUAAAGUUCUGCCCAGUUCAGAACUGAGAAGUAGAAACUUCUUUUAUUUAAUCUAGAAAAGGAGUGACAGUAAAUUUGUCAGUGUAUCGCUAUUUGUUUUCUGAACUUGGAUAAGUACAGAAGAAAUCAAAGCAAUGUCAAUUUUAAAAAAUAAGAGAAC
Molecule: long non-coding RNA, 1119 nt
Filed under: Callithrix jacchus (white-tufted-ear marmoset)
Lineage: Eukaryota; Metazoa; Chordata; Mammalia; Primates; Cebidae
Description: lncRNA (ENSCJAG00000063914.2)
Source: RNAcentral